This is a long non-coding RNA of Ictalurus punctatus (channel catfish), 1044 nucleotides long. RefSeq lists it as uncharacterized. Lineage: Eukaryota; Metazoa; Chordata; Actinopteri; Siluriformes; Ictaluridae. The record is from RefSeq and is a predicted model, not a curated record. The transcript is spliced from 3 exons.
UGUUGCUAUAAAAGGGGAAUUUAUCCUUUAACUUCUUGCAAAACAUACACACUUGCAAAGUAAACUGAUUUAUUUUGAAAGGAGGAUUCCAUCCUCAAGUGUGAGGACCAGUUAUGCACUGGGAAUUGUGACACUUUUUCCAUACUUCCAAGAUCCUUUCUCCAAACAUGGAUAUGAACACUACUAUGAUCCUUUAGGGUAAUACUGGCUUCAUUGCAUGGAGGAUCAAGACAGUUCAACAUAACACCUGUGCUGGCUCCCAGUGUCAUUCCAAGACUGUUCUUCAGGAUGGUCCAAAAACCAGACGAGAAUCUCUGUUAUUCUGUCAACAGCGAUUUGGUGAGGAGUGCAGGGAGGCGAUAUCUACAAUACGAUAUUCCACUGAUGAAUCUGUGGUCAAAGAGAAGAUGAGCGACUUUCCAGUAUUGACAGAAGAUGGUCUGUGAGGAUGCAUCAUCUUCAGUCCUGGAUUUGUUCACUCGUUUCCUUGCUGUAUCUGGAUUGGUAAGAAAAUCUUUAGCUUUGGAAGUAGUUUUGAAAAGGAAAUGACCUUCUCUGUAGUUAUUAAAGGAGUUCACUGGUACAGCAGAGAAAGGAGUUGUUCAAUGAUCACCAUAACAAUAACAGGCCGGUCCAAACUGAGAAAUUCAACGUUCUAAUCUUUUAUAUCCCAAAUGUAUGCAUAAAUAACACAGCAGAUCUGAAUUUUUAGCAUUUGACCUUUCAUCCAUUUAUGUCCGUUAUGUUUAAACCUGUAUAAACCUUGUUUAUAGAUCGACCACGAUUUCUCCUGAUGUUUGGUGACGAAGUGUCUCAGAAUUUCCUGGCAAAGUGGUCAACAUUCUUCAAGCCAAACAUCAUUGCAGACUGCAAGACUCUUAAGAAUAUGGGCGAGCUGCUGUCAGGAACUGAACCUGAACCUGAGGACUAAAAUGGAUGGGACAGCGAUAUGUCUUCAAUCCUUUUGCAGCUGCAUCUGCUCCCUCUAACCUCAAGAGGCCAGAAAAAAAAUAUCCAAGAUCAGUUCAGCUCAAGCAACCAGCC